RNAcentral lists this ribosomal RNA (299 nucleotides) under Desulfotruncus arcticus DSM 17038. RNAcentral describes it as "16S rRNA. Bacterial SSU". It matches the Rfam family "Bacterial small subunit ribosomal RNA", at positions 1 to 287 of the family's 1533-position model. Lineage: Bacteria; Bacillati; Bacillota; Clostridia; Eubacteriales; Desulfallaceae. The record is from RNAcentral.
AUUUAAUGGAGAGUUUGAUCCUGGCUCAGGACGAACGCUGGCGGCGUGCUUAACACAUGCAAGUCGAACGGAGAUUAGCGAGGAGUUUACUUUUUGCUAAUUUUAGUGGCGGACGGGUGAGUAACGCGUGGAUAACCUGCCUGAUAGCCUGGGAUAACGCCGGGAAACUGGUGCUAAUACCGGAUACGCUCCUUGGGAUGCAUAUUCUGGGGAGGAAAGGAGAAAUCCGCUGACAGAUGGGUCCGCGUCCCAUUAGCUAGUUGGAGGGGUAACGGCCCCCCAAGGCGACGAUGGGUAGC